UCAAACACCCGGUCCUGGAUUAGUUUAGAGAACUUCAAAGGCCUGAUGCUCUGGAAUCCAAGCUGAUGAUUUGAGGGGCAAACAGUUGCAGCUUUCACUUUUGCGACAUCAGCACCCAUGCUAGUGGGGACCUUAUGGAUCUUUUUGUUUCGAGUAAAUGGCAUUAGUGCACUGCGUAUGGUCGAUAGCACCCGAUCAUUAUUGCCAAGACUUUCAACACUAAAUCAAUCAAUGACUCAACAGAUUUUGCACACUAUUUGUCUUCUCAUUCCAUGAUCGGCUCCUCCUAUUUCAUCUCUGAUAACCUGAGCUUCUUUUGAGGUGACUUGUAGUGGAAACUACUUCAAAAUCUCUGGUAUUUUUGUCACUCGAAAAUGGUAUAGACUCUGCGACUUGACGAGGCAAGAAACUAACUUUGGUUCCACUAUUGGUAAAAAGAAUUAUCAUCUUUUUGCCAGGUUGGAGGUCGUUGUACUGGUAGAAUAUCGUUGAGGCUGGUUUUUUGUUUUUUAUGGUUAUCUUGUAUCAGGAUGAAGUUGAUGGCAGUCCCCUGUGAAACAAUAUAAUCAAAUAUUUUGUGGUUGCCAUGUUUUUUCUACUAUUUAUGUAUACAGGUUUGUUCUUUUUUUUUCCUUAUAUUUAUUGACCGAGGUUUCUUCCAUUGAUUUUGAGAGCACAUUUUCUAAGCAUAACACCAAAUUGCAACUGUACUUCUGAAUGUGAAUACCUGAUAAGGCUGGUUUUUCAGGAUCACCUUCUUCUUAAGAAAACCAGGGCUUCCACACUAAAACAGGGUGAGGGGGUGCGUGUGUAUGACAAACAUAAACAGCUACGACAUCAGGGAACGGACGGAAGUACAUACAUAUUAUAAACAGCAACGACAACAGGGAAGGGACGGAAGUACAUACAUAUUAUAAACAGCAACGACAGCAAGG
Long non-coding RNA from Populus euphratica (Euphrates poplar), 935 nucleotides. RefSeq lists it as uncharacterized. The record is from RefSeq and is a predicted model, not a curated record. NCBI's taxonomy places the organism in Eukaryota, Viridiplantae, Streptophyta, Magnoliopsida, Malpighiales, Salicaceae. The transcript has 2 exons.